RNAcentral lists this ribosomal RNA (945 nucleotides) under Acinetobacter sp. LGA41. RNAcentral's name for it is "bacterial SSU rRNA". It matches the Rfam family "Bacterial small subunit ribosomal RNA", at positions 38 to 978 of the family's 1533-position model. The record is from RNAcentral. Lineage: Bacteria; Pseudomonadati; Pseudomonadota; Gammaproteobacteria; Moraxellales; Moraxellaceae.
CGUAGUACUCUWGAUCGUGCAUGUCUAGUCGUCGUAGUCGAGUCAGUGAUUGACCUAGCGGCGGACGGUUGAGUAAUACUUAGGAAUCUGCCUAUUAAUGGGGGACAACAUCUCGAAAGGGAUGCUAAUACCGCAUACGCCCUACGGGGGAAAGCAGGGGAUCACUUGUGACCUUGCGUUAAUAGAUGAGCCUAAGUCGGAUUAGCUAGUUGGUGGGGUAAAGGCCUACCAAGGCGACGAUCUGUAGCGGGUCUGAGAGGAUGAUCCGCCACACUGGGACUGAGACACGGCCCAGACUCCUACGGGAGGCAGCAGUGGGGAAUAUUGGACAAUGGGGGGAACCCUGAUCCAGCCAUGCCGCGUGUGUGAAGAAGGCCUUAUGGUUGUAAAGCACUUUAAGCGAGGAGGAGGCUCUUCUGGUUAAUACCUAGGAUGAGUGGACGUUACUCGCAGAAUAAGCACCGGCUAACUCUGUGCCAGCAGCCGCGGUAAUACAGAGGGUGCGAGCGUUAAUCGGAUUUACUGGGCGUAAAGCGUGCGUAGGCGGCUUUUUAAGUCGGAUGUGAAAUCCCCGAGCUUAACUUGGGAAUUGCAUUCGAUACUGGGAAGCUAGAGUAUGGGAGAGGAUGGUAGAAUUCCAGGUGUAGCGGUGAAAUGCGUAGAGAUCUGGAGGAAUACCGAUGGCGAAGGCAGCCAUCUGGCCUAAUACUGACGCUGAGGUACGAAAGCAUGGGGAGCAAACAGGAUUAGAUACCCUGGUAGUCCAUGCCGUAAACGAUGUCUACUAGCCGUUGGGCCCUUUGAGGCUUUAGUGGCGCAGCUAACGCGAUAAGUAGACCGCCUGGGGAGUACGGUCGCAAGACUAAACUCAAAUGAAUUGACGGGGGCCCGCACAAGCGGUGGAGCAUGUGGUUAAUUCGAUGCAACGCGAAGAACCGUAACUUG